RNAcentral lists this ribosomal RNA (465 nucleotides) under Vreelandella stevensii. RNAcentral's name for it is "partial 16S ribosomal RNA". It matches the Rfam family "Bacterial small subunit ribosomal RNA", at positions 338 to 795 of the family's 1533-position model. The record is from RNAcentral. Lineage: Bacteria; Pseudomonadati; Pseudomonadota; Gammaproteobacteria; Oceanospirillales; Halomonadaceae.
CCUACGGGUGGCAGCAGUGGGGAAUAUUGGACAAUGGGCGAAAGCCUGAUCCAGCCAUGCCGCGUGUGUGAAGAAGGCCUUCGGGUUGUAAAGCACUUUCAGUGGGGAAGAAAGCCUUGGGGCUAAUACCCUCGAGGAAGGACAUCACCCACAGAAGAAGCACCGGCUAACUCCGUGCCAGCAGCCGCGGUAAUACGGAGGGUGCGAGCGUUAAUCGGAAUUACUGGGCGUAAAGCGCGCGUAGGCGGUCUGAUAAGCCGGUUGUGAAAGCCCCGGGCUCAACCUGGGAACGGCAUCCGGAACUGUCAGGCUAGAAUGAAGGGGAGGAAGGUAGAAUUCCCGGUGUAGCGGUGAAAUGCGUAGAGAUCGGGAGGAAUACCAGUGGCGAAGGCGGCCUACUGGUCUGACACUGACGCUGAGGGGCGAAAGCGUGGGUAGCAAACAGGAUUAGAUACCCCGGUAGUC